GAUGAAGAACGUAGCGAAAUGCGAUACGUAAUGUGAAUUGCAGAAUUCAGUGAAUCAUCGAAUCUUUGAACGCAUAUUGCGCUCUCUGGUAUUCCGGAGAGCAUGCUUGUUUGAGUAUCAGUAACACCUCAACUUCCAUGUCUUUUUUUGAAAUGGGAGUUGGACUUGAGUGAUCCCAACGCUUUUCCUCACCGAAAAGUGGCGGGUUACUUGAAAUGCAGGUGCAGCUGGACUUUUCUCUGAGCUAUAAGCAUAUCUAUUUAGUCUGCCUAAAAAACAGAUUAUUACCUUUGCUGCAGCUAACAUAAAGGAGAUUAGUUCUUGUGCUGACUGAUGCAGGAUUCACAAAGACAGCUUCGGCCGACUUUGUAAACUCGAUCUCAAAUCAAGUAAGACUACCCGCUGAACUUAAGCAUAUCAAUAAGCGGAGGA
Molecule: unclassified non-coding RNA, 432 nt
Filed under: soil metagenome
Description: partial contains 5.8S ribosomal RNA, internal transcribed spacer 2, and large subunit ribosomal RNA
Rfam family: 5.8S ribosomal RNA (bases 1-120)
Source: RNAcentral